RNAcentral lists this ribosomal RNA (384 nucleotides) under uncultured bacterium. Its description in RNAcentral is "partial 16S ribosomal RNA". It matches the Rfam family "Bacterial small subunit ribosomal RNA", at positions 355 to 756 of the family's 1533-position model. The record is from RNAcentral.
UGGGGAAUAUUGGACAAUGGGGGCAACCCUGAUCCAGCAAUGCCGCGUGUGUGAAGAAGGUUUUCGGAUUGUAAAGCACUUUCGGCGGGGACGAUGAUGACGGUACCCGCAGAAGAAGCCCCGGCUAACUUCGUGCCAGCAGCCGCGGUAAUACGAAGGGGGCUAGCGUUGCUCGGAAUGACUGGGCGUAAAGGGCGUGUAGGCGGUUUGUACAGUCAGAUGUGAAAUCCCCGGGCUUAACCUGGGAGCUGCAUUUGAUACGUGCAGACUAGAGUGUGAGAGAGGGUUGUGGAAUUCCCAGUGUAGAGGUGAAAUUCGUAGAUAUUGGGAAGAACACCGGUGGCGAAGGCGGCAACCUGGCUCAUGACUGACGCUGAGGCGCGA